GACGAACGCUGGCGGCGUGCUUAACACAUGCAAGUCGAGCGGUAAGGCCCUUUCGGGGGUACACGAGCGGCGAACGGGUGAGUAACACGUGGGUGACCUGCCCUCAGCUCUGGGAUAAGCCCGGGAAACGUGGGUCUAAUACCGGAUAUGACUUCAUGACGCAUGUUGUGGAGUGGAAAGCCUUGUGCGGCUGAGGAUGGGCCCGCGGCCUAUCAGCUUGUUGGUGGGGUGANGGCCUACCAAGGCGACGACGGGUAGCCGGCCUGGAGAGGGCGACCGGCCACACUGGGACUGAGACACGGCCCAGACUCCUACGGGAGGCAGCAGUGGGGAAUCUUGCGCAAUGGGCGAAAGCCUGACGCAGCGACGCCGCGUGAGGGAU
RNAcentral lists this ribosomal RNA (382 nucleotides) under uncultured bacterium. RNAcentral describes it as "bacterial SSU rRNA". It matches the Rfam family "Bacterial small subunit ribosomal RNA", at positions 28 to 409 of the family's 1533-position model. The record is from RNAcentral.